RNAcentral lists this ribosomal RNA (648 nucleotides) under bacterium SVAL2.24. Its description in RNAcentral is "bacterial SSU rRNA". It matches the Rfam family "Bacterial small subunit ribosomal RNA", at positions 60 to 697 of the family's 1533-position model. The record is from RNAcentral.
AGUCGAGCGGUAGCACAGAGAGCUUGCUCUUGGGUGACGAGCGGCGGACGGGUGAGUAACGCGUAGAAAUCUACCCGGUAGUUGGGGAUAGCCCGGAGAAAUCCGGAUUAAUACCGAAUAAUCUCUGAGGAGGAAAGUGGGGGACCUUUCGGGGCCUCACGCUAUUGGAUGAGUCUGCGUCGGAUUAGCUAGUUGGUGGGGUAAAGGCCUACCAAGGCGACGAUCCGUAGCUGGUCUGAGAGGAUGAUCAGCCACACUGGGACUGAGACACGGCCCAGACUCCUACGGGAGGCAGCAGUGGGGAAUAUUGGACAAUGGGGGCAACCCUGAUCCAGCCAUGCCGCGUGUGUGAAGAAGGCUUUCGGGUUGUAAAGCACUUUCAGUGGUGAGGAAGGGUGUGUUGUUAAUAGCGACAUACAUUGACGUUAGCCACAGAAGAAGCACCGGCUAACUCCGUGCCAGCAGCCGCGGUAAUACGGAGGGUGCGAGCGUUAAUCGGAAUUACUGGGCGUAAAGCGCGCGUAGGCGGUGUGUUAAGUGAGAUGUGAAAUCCCCGGGCUCAACCUGGGAAUUGCCUCUUAUACUGGCACGCUAGAGUAUGGCAGAGGUGAGUAGAAUUCCCGGUGUAGCGGUGAAAUGCGUAGAGAU